This 209-nucleotide long non-coding RNA is filed under the name Lathyrus oleraceus (garden pea). Its description in RNAcentral is "Pisum sativum (pea) long non-coding RNA (PSAT_LNC018247)". The record is from RNAcentral. Lineage: Eukaryota; Viridiplantae; Streptophyta; Magnoliopsida; Fabales; Fabaceae.
AAAAAUCUUGGACUUGGACCUCUCUCAUUUGAGCCCACAAAGCCACGAAAAUCAGGUUAUAAAUUCUAAAAAAAAAAUCAGUGGAAAAACCCUAGAGAAAUUCUAACUAAUUCAGAGCAACCUCCAGAGACUGAAGGGAACUCAUCUGCAAAGAACCAAUUCCCUCUCAUAUAAACCCUAAGAUUGUUCUGCAAAGCCAACGGUGCAAU